AUUAAUGGUGCAGCCCGUAAGCCUUCGGCUUUGCCCCAGAAUAGGGAUGGCACUGACCAUGCUGCUUCCCACACACACACUACAUCACCCAGGGCCCCCAUUCCUGACCUGGCAGGGUCUCCCCAGGCAGCAGAGGGGAGCUCGUCUCCAUGGCCCAUUCAGUCCUUGGUCUCU
This 174-nucleotide small RNA is filed under the name Gopherus agassizii (Agassiz's desert tortoise). RNAcentral describes it as "TUC338 (ENSGAGG00000023354.1)". The record is from RNAcentral. Lineage: Eukaryota; Metazoa; Chordata; Testudines; Testudinidae.